GAUGAACGCUGGCGGUAUGCCUAACACAUGCAAGUCGUACGAGAGUUUUUAACUCUAGUGGCGGACGGGUGAGUAACACGUGAGAAUUUACCUUUAGGAGGGGGAUAACAAUUGGAAACGAAUGCUAAUACCCCAUAUGCUUUUGAGUGAAAUGGAUUUAUAUUUAUCCGCCUAGAGAGAAGCUCGCGGCUGAUUAGCUUGUUGGUAAGGUAAGAGCUUACCAAGGCGACGAUCAGUAUCUGGUUUGAGAGGACGAUCAGACACACUGGAACUGAGACACGGUCCAGACUCCUACGGGAGGCAGCAGUGGGGAAUUUUCCGCAAUGGGCGAAAGCCUGACGGAGCAAUACCGCGUGAGGGAAGACUGCCUAUGGGUUGUAAACCUCUUUUUUCAGGGAGGAAUAAAAU
Molecule: ribosomal RNA, 408 nt
Filed under: uncultured phototrophic eukaryote
Lineage: Eukaryota
Description: bacterial SSU rRNA
Rfam family: Bacterial small subunit ribosomal RNA
Source: RNAcentral